CCGAUAGGCGUAGUCGAUGGACAACGGGUUGAUAUUCCCGUACCGGCAUUAACACGACCCGACCGAACCUGCUGAUGCUAAGUCUUCGAAACCAUGAGGCCUUCGGGUUGAGUGGCGGAGCAGACGGCCCGAGGUGGUAGUAGGUGCAUUGAGGAGUGACGCAGGAGGGUAGUCCAACCGCGGCGAUGGUAGGCGUAAGCUGAUCCGCGGGCAAGGUGGUAGGGCGAGGCAUAGGCAAAUCCGCGUCUCAUUGAGCCUGAGAGCCGAGGCGGACCCGUUUAGGGGAAGUGGAUGAUCCCAUGCUGCCGAGAAAAACUUCGCAGUGAGUGUUAGAGCCGCCCGUACCCCAAACCGACUCUGG
RNAcentral lists this ribosomal RNA (361 nucleotides) under Kribbella sandramycini. Its description in RNAcentral is "bacterial LSU rRNA". It matches the Rfam family "Bacterial large subunit ribosomal RNA", at positions 1402 to 1663 of the family's 2925-position model. Lineage: Bacteria; Bacillati; Actinomycetota; Actinomycetes; Propionibacteriales; Kribbellaceae. The record is from RNAcentral.